AGAGUUUGAUUCUGGCUCAGGACGAACGCUGGCGGCGUGCCUAACACAUGCAAGUCGAACGAACCUCGAAGCUCUGAGAUUUCUGUCAAGGAGCGGAGAUGACUUAUUGGCGAACGGGUGAGUAAUGCGUGAGCGACCUGCCUUUCAGAGGGGGACAACAGCUGGAAACGGCUGCUAAUACCGCAUAAUACAUUUGGGUGGCAUCAUCUGAAUGUCAAAGGAGCAAUCCGCUGAAAGAUGGGCUCGCGUCUGAUUAGCUGGUUGGUGAGGUAACGGCUCACCAGGGCGACGAUCAGUACCCGGUCUGAGAGGAUGAACGGCCACCUUGAGACUGACAUACGGCCCAGACUCCUACGGGAGGCAGCAGUGGGGAAUAUUGGGCAAUGGGCGAAAGCCUGACCCAGCAACGCCGCGUGAAGGAAGAAGGCUUUCGGGUUGUAAACUUCUUUUAUCACGGACGAAGGAUGUGACGGUACCUGAUGAAUAACCCACGGCUAACUACGUGCCAGCAGCCGCGGUAAUACGUAGGUGGCAAGCGUUGUCCGGAUUUACUGGGUGUAAAGGGAGCGCAGGCGGGAAGACAAGUCGGAAGUGAAAUCCAUGGGCUCAACCCAUGAACUGCUUUCAAAACUGUUUUUCUUGAGUAGUGCAGAGGUAGGCGGAAUUCCCGGUGUAGCGGUGGAAUGCGUAGAUAUCGGGAGGAACACCAGUGGCGAAGGCGGCUUACUGGGCACCAACUGACGCUGAGGCUCGAAAGUGUGGGUAGCAAACAGGAUUAGAUACCCUGGUAGUCCACACUGUAAACGAUGAAUACUAGGUGUGGGGGGACUGACCCCCUCCGUGCCGGAGUUAACACAAUAAGUAUUCCACCUGGGGAGUGCGGCCGCAAGGUUGAAACUCAAAGGAAUUGACGGGGGCCCGCACACAGCAGUGGAUUAUGUGGUUUAAUUUGAAGCAACGCGGAGAACCUUUCCAGGGCUUGACAUUCAACUGACGAGGCAGAGAUGCAUUAGGUGCCCUUCGGGGAAAGUUGAGACAGGUGGUGCAUGGUUGUCGUCAGCUCGUGUCGUGAGAUGUUGGGUUAAGUCCCGCAACGAGCGCAACCCUUAUUGUUAGUUGGUACGCAAGAGCACUCUAGCGAGACUGCCGUUGACAAAACGGAGGAAGGUGGGGACGACGUCAAAUCAUCAUGCCCCUUAUGUUCUGGGCUGCACACGUGCUACAAUGGCCGGUACAGAGGGAUGCCACCCCGCGAGGGGGAGCGGAUCCCGGAAAGCCGGCCCCAGUUCGGAUUGGGGGCUGCAACCCGCCCCCAUGAAGUCGGAGUUGCUAGUAAUCGCGGAUCAGCAUGCCGCGGUGAAUGAGUUCCCGGGCCUUGCACACACCGCCCGUCA
Molecule: ribosomal RNA, 1394 nt
Filed under: uncultured bacterium
Lineage: Bacteria
Description: bacterial SSU rRNA
Rfam family: Bacterial small subunit ribosomal RNA
Source: RNAcentral